RNAcentral lists this long non-coding RNA (705 nucleotides) under Homo sapiens (human). Its description in RNAcentral is "HSALNT0304504". The record is from RNAcentral. Lineage: Eukaryota; Metazoa; Chordata; Mammalia; Primates; Hominidae.
CCCACCCCAAGGGAACAAUCAGGGAAGAAGGAACGCAAGACGGUGGAAGCAUGCCAACCUAUUAAACCGCAAGUCAGAGAUCAAACCAUAUCCUCAUUUGAAAAUGGAAAAAGAAAAGAAAUGGAGGCAUUGUGUGAUAUUUGCCUAAAUAUAACUAAAGAGAUCCAUUUAUUUUUAGUGUUUGAUUAAAAACCCUCAAAGGAAAAGAGAAAUUUUGAUCUUUGAGAAGAGCUGUUUCAUCACAGGGUGAAGUUGUUUCCUGAGCCCUUUGAUCUGAAAUGACCUUGCGACCUGGAACCAGCAGACAGCCUGAGGGAGGCAGUGCAUGUUCUGAGCCAGGGCCUCAGGAGGCCUGCAGCUGCCAUUCUGCUUCUGUUGGAACAUGACCUCCUUGAGAACACUCCCAGGCCUGACUGCAGGGUGGGGAGACCACACAGAGCAGAGCCGAGCCACCGGGAUGAGGCCCCUAGAUCACCCAGCUCCCAGCUGACCACAGAUCAUGAGUGAUCCCGUUUCUCCCUAGGUCAAGGGUGAUGUUUUGCUCAGAGAAAACUGAAGUUUGGAUUGUUCCAGUCCUGCAUCACAUCCUGUUUCAGGCUGCCCUAAAACAAAACCAGAAACAACCAUCACCACAAAACACCAUACCUUCAAUAGUCUUCUCAGUGUUCAGAAUAAAGGCUCUGGUUUUCCCUUGGGCUCAAUUUU